GGCACCUGAUCUUAUGCCGGUGAGUGAAAAGCUCGGGUUGAAGCUCUUUUGUCAGGAAGAAACGGUCUGCUAAUAUCCAGAGCUAAUGACGGACCUGAAGAAUAAGCACCGGCUAACUACGUGCCAGCAGCCGCGGUAAUACGUAGGGUGCAAGCGUUAAUCGGAAUUACUGGGCGUAAAGCGUGCGCAGGCGGUUAUGUAAGACUGUCGUGAAAUCCCCGGGCUCAACCUGGGAAUGGCGACGGUGACUGCAAGGCUAGAGUAUGGCACAGGGGGGUAAAAUUCCACGUGUAGCAGUGAAAUGCGUAGAUAUGUGGAGGAACACCGAUGGCGAAGGCAGACCCCUGGGUCAAAACUGACGCUCAUGCACGAAAGCGUGGGGAGCAAACAGGAUUAGAUACCCUGAGUAGUCCAAGCCCUAAACGAUGUCUAAUAGUAGUCACGGGUCUCUAAAAGACCUGAGUAACGCAGCUAACGCCGUUGCAGUAAACCGCCUGGUGAAGUACGGUCCGCAAGAU
This 518-nucleotide ribosomal RNA is filed under the name uncultured archaeon. RNAcentral's name for it is "bacterial SSU rRNA". It matches the Rfam family "Bacterial small subunit ribosomal RNA", at positions 378 to 894 of the family's 1533-position model. The record is from RNAcentral.